CCCUAGUAACUGCGAGUGAAGCGGGAAAAGCUCAAAUUUAAAAUCUGGUGGUCUUUGGCCAUCCGAGUUGUAAUUUAGAGAAGCAUCUUCCGCGCUGGACCGUGCACAAGUCUCCUGGAAUGGAGCGUCGUAGAGGGUGAGAAUCCCGUCUUUGGCAUGGACACACCAGGGCUUUUGUGAUGUGCUCUCGAAGAGUCGAGUUGUUUGGGAAUGCAGCUCAAAAUGGGUGGUGAACUCCAUCUAAAGCUAAAUAUUGGCGAGAGACCGAUAGCGAACAAGUACCGUGAGGGAAAGAUGAAAAGCACUUUGGAAAGAGAGUGAAACAGUACGUGAAAUUGUUGAAAGGGAAACGCUUGAAGUCAGUCGCGUCGACCGAGACUCAGCCUCGCCUUGGCUUGGUGUAUUUCUCGGCUGACGGGUCAGCAUCAAUUUUGCCCCUUGGAUAAUGGCGAGGGAAAUGUGACACCCUCUCGGGUGUGUUAUAGUCUCUUGUCGCAUGCAAGGGUCGGGAUUGAGGAACUCAGCACGCACCUUUGGGUGUCGGGGCUUUGCCCACGAUACGUGCUUAGGAUGUUGGCGUAAUGGCUUUAAACGACCCGUCUUGAAACACGGACCAAGGAGUCUAACAUGCCCGCGAGUGUUUGGGUGGAAAACCCAUUCGCGCAAUGAAAGUGAAAGUUGGGACCUCUGUCGUGGAGGGCACCGACACCCGGACCAGACCUUCUGUGACGGAUCUGCGGUAGAGCGUGUAUGUUAGGACCCGAAAGAUGGUGAACUAUGCCUGAAUAGGGUGAAGCCAGAGGAAACUCUGGUGGAGGCUCGUAGCGAUUCUGACGUGCAAAUCGAUCGUCAAAUUUGGGUAUAGG
Molecule: ribosomal RNA, 866 nt
Filed under: Russula candidissima
Lineage: Eukaryota; Fungi; Basidiomycota; Agaricomycetes; Russulales; Russulaceae
Description: partial large subunit ribosomal RNA
Rfam family: Eukaryotic large subunit ribosomal RNA
Source: RNAcentral